UAAGUAGAACAAAUGAUCGCGGCUGCACAGACGAAAGGGUGCAGACGAGGAAAGUCCGGGCUCCACAGGGCAGGAUGCCGGAUAACAUCCGGUGGAGGCGACUCCAAGGCCAGUGCAACAGAAAUAAUACCGCCCGGGGUUGUGAAGCAACAGGCGUUUCGCGCAGCGAUUGCCACGGAGGAUUGCAAUGCAAUCCUCUGGAGUUUUGCGAAGCAAUACUCCGAGGUAAGGGUGGAAUGGCAGUGUAAGAGACUACCGCCGUCCCGGUAACGGGACGGGCUGUGUAAACCCCAUCCGGAGCAAGACCAAACAGAGAGCAAUGACCGGCCCGGUCCGCUUUCAGGUAGGUCGCUGGAGGGUCCCGGCAACGGGACUCCUAGAUAGAUGAUCAUUCACGACAUAACCCGGCUUAUCGUUCUGCUUACAAA
RNAcentral lists this RNase P RNA (428 nucleotides) under Lachnospiraceae bacterium. Its description in RNAcentral is "RNase P RNA component class A". It matches the Rfam family "Bacterial RNase P class A". Rfam says of the family: Ribonuclease P (RNase P) is a ubiquitous endoribonuclease, found in archaea, bacteria and eukarya as well as chloroplasts and mitochondria. Its best characterised activity is the generation of mature 5'-ends of tRNAs by cleaving the 5'-leader elements of precursor-tRNAs. The record is from RNAcentral. Lineage: Bacteria; Bacillati; Bacillota; Clostridia; Lachnospirales; Lachnospiraceae.